RNAcentral lists this ribosomal RNA (433 nucleotides) under uncultured bacterium. Its description in RNAcentral is "partial 16S ribosomal RNA". It matches the Rfam family "Bacterial small subunit ribosomal RNA", at positions 29 to 507 of the family's 1533-position model. The record is from RNAcentral.
AACGAACGCUGGCGGCAUGCCUAACACAUGCAAGUCGAACGAGACCUUCGGGUCUAUUGGCGCACGGGUGCGUAACGCGUGGGAACCUGCCCUUAGGUUCGGAAUAACUCCCCUAAAGGGGUGCUAAUACCGGUUAAUGUCUUCGGACCAAAGAUUUAUCGCCUUUGGAUGGGCCCGCGUUGGAUUAGCUUGUUGGUAGGGUAAAAGCCUACCAAGGCGACGAUCCAUAGCUGGUCUGAGAGGAUGAUCAGCCACACUGGGACUGAGACACGGCCCAGACUCCUACGGGAGGCAGCAGUGGGGAAUAUUGGACAAUGGGCGAAAGCCUGAUCCAGCAAUGCCGCGUGAGUGAUGAAGGCCUUAGGGUUGUAAAGCUCUUUUACCCGGGAUGAUAAUGACAGUACCGGGAGAAUAAGCUCCGGCUAACUCCGUG